RNAcentral lists this transfer RNA (65 nucleotides) under Escarpia spicata. RNAcentral describes it as "tRNA-Thr". Lineage: Eukaryota; Metazoa; Annelida; Polychaeta; Sabellida; Siboglinidae. The record is from RNAcentral.
GCUAUAGAAGCCAAAACAUUAGGCAUUGGUCUUGUAAACCAAAAGAUGAAUUUUUUCCUGUAGCU